GAUGAACGCUAGCGAUAGGCUUAACACAUGCAAGUCGAGGGGCAGCAUGGUCUUAGCUUGCUAAGACUGAUGGCGACCGGCGCACGGGUGCGUAACGCGUAUGCAACUUGCCUCACAGAGGGGGAUAACCCGUCGAAAGACGGACUAAUACCGCGUACACUCUAUUUUGGGCAUCCAAGGUAGAGGAAAUGAAAUUCGCUGUGAGAUAGGCAUGCGUCCCAUUAGCUAGUUGGUGAGGUAACGGCUCACCAAGGCGACGAUGGGUAGGGGAACUGAGAGGUUGAACCCCCACACUGGUACUGAGACACGGACCAGAAUCCUACGGGAGGCAGCAGUGAGGAAUAUUGGUCAAUGGGCGAGGGCCUGAACCAGCCAAGUCGCGUGAAGGAUGACUGUCUUAUGGAUUGUAAACUUCUUUUGUAGGGGAAUAAAGAGGGGCACGUGUGCCCCAGUGAAUGUACCCUACGAAUAAGCAUCGGCUAACUCCGUG
RNAcentral lists this ribosomal RNA (490 nucleotides) under uncultured bacterium. RNAcentral's name for it is "partial 16S ribosomal RNA". It matches the Rfam family "Bacterial small subunit ribosomal RNA", at positions 28 to 507 of the family's 1533-position model. The record is from RNAcentral.